UAAGGAAGGCAGCAGGCGCGUAAAUUACCCAAUCCUAAUACGGGGAGGUAGUGACAAGAAAUAUUGAUAUUGGACCCAAAGGGUACAAUGAUUGAAAUGAGAACAAUAUAAAAAACUUAACGACUAACAAUUGGAGGGCAAGUCUGGUGCCAGCAGCCGCGGUAAUUCCAGCUCCAAGAGUGUAUAUUAAAGUUGUUGCGGUUAAAAAGCUCGUAGUUGAAUUUCUGAAAAUAAUCUUGUGAUUGAUUUAACCGUCAUGAACAAAAAUUGUUUACAUACUUGAUAGAUGGAAACAUUUAUCUUAAUGACUUUGAAAAAAUUAGAGUGUUCAAAGCAUGAUUCACAUUUGAAUAAUACAGCAUGGGAUAAUAUAAUAUGACAUUAGUUAAAAUUUGUUGGUUUCUUUUGGCUAAU
RNAcentral lists this ribosomal RNA (414 nucleotides) under uncultured eukaryote. RNAcentral describes it as "bacterial SSU rRNA". It matches the Rfam family "Eukaryotic small subunit ribosomal RNA", at positions 417 to 862 of the family's 1831-position model. The record is from RNAcentral.